Protopterus annectens (West African lungfish) is the source of this 139-nucleotide small nuclear RNA. RefSeq annotates it as U4 spliceosomal RNA. The record is from RefSeq and is a predicted model, not a curated record. NCBI's taxonomy places the organism in Eukaryota, Metazoa, Chordata, Ceratodontiformes, Protopteridae. The transcript has a single exon.
AGCUUUGCACAGUGGUAAUAUCAUAGUCAAUGAAGGUUUACUGAGGUGUGAUUAUUGCUAUUUAAAAACUUUACCCAAUACCCCAUUAAGUCUGUUUUAUGAUGCACUUCUUGCCAAUUUUUUACCGUGUAUGAGGAGA